This 484-nucleotide ribosomal RNA is filed under the name uncultured bacterium. Its description in RNAcentral is "partial 16S ribosomal RNA". It matches the Rfam family "Bacterial small subunit ribosomal RNA", at positions 30 to 507 of the family's 1533-position model. The record is from RNAcentral.
AUUGAACGCUGGCGGCAGGCCUAACACAUGCAAGUCGAGCGGAUGAAGGGAGCUUGCUCCUGGAUUCAGCGGCGGACGGGUGAGUAAUGCCUAGGAAUCUGCCUGGUAGUGGGGGAUAACGUCCGGAAACGGGCGCUAAUACCGCAUACGUCCUGAGGGAGAAAGUGGGGGAUCUUCGGACCUCACGCUAUCAGAUGAGCCUAGGUCGGAUUAGCUAGUUGGUGGGGUAAAGGCCUACCAAGGCGACGAUCCGUAACUGGUCUGAGAGGAUGAUCAGUCACACUGGAACUGAGACACGGUCCAGACUCCUACGGGAGGCAGAAGCGGGGAAUAUUGGACAAUGGGCGAAAGCCUGAUCCAGCCAUGCCGCGUGUGUGAAGAAGGUCUUCGGAUUGUAAAGCACUUUAAGUUGGGAGGAAGGGCAGUAAGUUAAUACCUUGCUGUUUUGACGUUACCAACAGAAUAAGCACCGGCUAACUUCGUG